This 468-nucleotide ribosomal RNA is filed under the name uncultured bacterium. Its description in RNAcentral is "partial 16S ribosomal RNA". It matches the Rfam family "Bacterial small subunit ribosomal RNA", at positions 28 to 507 of the family's 1533-position model. The record is from RNAcentral.
GACGAACGCUGGUGGCGUGCUUAACACAUGCAAGUCGAACGGAAAGGCCCUGCUUUUGUGGGGUGCUCGAGUGGCGAACGGGUGAGUAACACGUGAGUAACCUGCCCUUGACUUUGGGAUAACUUCAGGAAACUGGGGCUAAUACCGGAUAGGAGCUCCUGCUGCAUGGUGGGGGUUGGAAAGUUUCGGCGGUUGGGGAUGGACUCGCGGCUUAUCAGCUUGUUGGUGGGGUAGUGGCUUACCAAGGCUUUGACGGGUAGCCGGCCUGAGAGGGUGACCGGCCACAUUGGGACCGAGAUACGGCCCAGACUCCUACGGGAGGCAGCAGUGGGGAAUAUUGCACAAUGGGCGGAAGCCUGAUGCAGCAACGCCGCGUGCGGGAUGACGGCCUUCGGGUUGUAAACCGCUUUCGCCUGUGACGAAGCGUGAGUGACGGUAAUGGGUAAAGAAGCACCGGCUAACUACGUG